Molecule: ribosomal RNA, 254 nt
Filed under: uncultured bacterium
Lineage: Bacteria
Description: partial 16S ribosomal RNA
Rfam family: Bacterial small subunit ribosomal RNA
Source: RNAcentral
UACGUAGGGGGGCAAGCGUUGUCCGGAUUUAUUGGGCGUAAAGAGCGUGUAGGCGGUUAGGUAGGUCCGUUGUGAAAACUCGAGGCUCAACCUCGAGACGCCGAUGGAAACCAUCUAACUAGAGUCCGGAAGAGGAGAGUGGAAUUCCUGGUGUAGCGGUGAAAUGCGCAGAUAUCAGGAAGAACACCCGUGGCUAAGGCGGCUCUCUAGUACGGUACUGACGCUGAGACGCGAAAGCGUGGGGAGCGAACAGG